This 77-nucleotide microRNA precursor is filed under the name Oreochromis niloticus (Nile tilapia). RNAcentral describes it as "mir-1788 microRNA precursor family". It matches the Rfam family "mir-1788 microRNA precursor family". Lineage: Eukaryota; Metazoa; Chordata; Actinopteri; Cichliformes; Cichlidae. The record is from Rfam by way of RNAcentral. RNAcentral also lists the same sequence under 1 other name.
UGGCUUUCGAGGCUUGUUUUAAGUUGCCUGCGAAUUUUAUCUGUUACACAGGCAGCUAAAGCAAGCCUUGAACACCA